RNAcentral lists this unclassified non-coding RNA (310 nucleotides) under Hevea brasiliensis (rubber tree). Lineage: Eukaryota; Viridiplantae; Streptophyta; Magnoliopsida; Malpighiales; Euphorbiaceae. The record is from RNAcentral.
GGGUGGUAACAUCGCACACCAUAUAGGAAUUCGAUUAGGGUUGGAAAAGUUUGAGGGUGUGAAAAUUGAUGGGAUUUUCCUUGCGUGUCCAUAUUUCUGGGGAAAGGAUCGUAUUGAGGGUGAGGAAGAAAACUUGCUUGCCAAGGAUUUCGUUGAGGACCUUGUGUUGAUUGGUAAUCCCAAUAGCACGGGGUUAGAUAAGGAUCCUAUUGACUUAGGUUCCAAGGAUCUCUUUGAGAAGCUAUGGUUGUUUGUGAAUCCCACCAGCUCUGGAUUAGAUGAUCCGUUGAUUAACCCGGAAAAGGAUCCG